Homo sapiens (human) is the source of this 938-nucleotide long non-coding RNA. Ensembl annotates it as long intergenic non-protein coding RNA 710. Lineage: Eukaryota; Metazoa; Chordata; Mammalia; Primates; Hominidae. The record is from Ensembl.
AGUCAAUGACUCAGGGUAGCCACCGAACAUGAUGCUCGGGCAGUGGGUGCCACCUGGACUCCACUCUCCCCUCUCUCUGGGAUCAUAGAGUCCAAGGUGUUCUGUGGCCUCUCGGCCAAUCCCAGCAGCUCAGCGUGCAGAAGACCGAGGAGCCAUUGGAAUUCAACACAACACGAAAUAAUCAACAAAUUCGGGGAAUGUUAAUCUGACCAUCACCAGUUACAAAUGAUGUUUCAUGCUACCUUCUAUUCCUGCCUUCAUAAAUCAAGGAAAAGAAAAAGAGAACAUAUAUCCCCCUACCUUUUGAUUUCCAACAGUCUACUGAGAGGCCAAGAUUAUUUGCAGGGAAAGAAAAGGGGUCAAAAUGUUUUGCCAGUAACUCCCAAAUCAUCUACAGCCAAGGAGAAAAGUGUUUCAAGACAGAGGUGCUCAAUGGUAUCAAAUACUGCCAACAGACCAAGUAAUACAUGCAUUGAAGUGUCUACUGGAUCUAGCUAUAUAUGAAGAAACUGAGGCAGACAGAGGUGAAGAAACUUGCACAAGGUCAAAGAACAAUCUUUCAGAAAAUGGCAUUGCGUACUGAGGACAGUGAGAAAUAGGAGGUUAUGUUUCCUAUCAAAGCCCUCCAUGUAGAAAGGUGAGCUCUCAGAGAUGAUCUGAAUUAUCUUUGCUUCCACCGUUUCUGCCUAUUGCUACCUGAUCUGUCACAUCCAUGACUGAGAAAUAUUGUCAGCUGGAGAGGCAUUUAUAUUGAAACCUCAUUCCAUUUGAACAAGUGGGGUUUCACCAUGAUUUAUUUAAAACACAUCUACCGAAACGCAACACCCUUCAUCCUAAAAACCAGAUCUUGAAAAACAUGAUUGUAACGGGGAAAACAACUGCUCAGAUUGCUAAAUUGUCCUUUGCUACAAGCAAAAAUAAAAGCAAGGAGUCAUUUA